Molecule: ribosomal RNA, 478 nt
Filed under: uncultured bacterium
Lineage: Bacteria
Description: partial 16S ribosomal RNA
Rfam family: Bacterial small subunit ribosomal RNA
Source: RNAcentral
GACGAACGCUGGCGGCGUGCUUAACACAUGCAAGUCGAACGGUAAGGCCCUUCGGGGUACACGAGUGGCGAACGGGUGCGUAACACGUGGGUGAUCUGCCCUGCACUUCGGGAUAAGCCUGGGAAACUGGGUCUAAUACCGGAUAGGACCACUGCCUGCAUGGGUGGGGGUGGAAAGCUUUUGCGGUGUGGGAUGGGCCCGCGGCCUAUCAGCUUGUUGGAUGGGUGAUGGCCUACCAAGGCGAUGACGGGUAGCCGGCCUGAGGGGGUGACCGGCCACGCUGGGACUGAGAUACGGCCCAGCCUCCUCCGGGAGGCGGCAGUGGGGAAGAUUGUACAAUGGGCGCAAGCCAGGUGCAGCGACGCCGCGUGGGGGAUGACGGCCUGCGGGUUGUAAACCUCAUUCAGCACCGACGAAGCGCAAGUGACGGUAGGUGCAGAAGAAGGACCGGCCAACUACGUGCCAGCCGCCGCGGUAA